AUUGAACGCUAGCGGCAGGCCUAACACAUGCAAGUCGAGCGAGCGGCGGACGGGUGAGUAAUGUCUGGGAACCUGCCUGAUAGCGGGGGAUAACUACUGGAAAGGGUGGCUAAUACCGCAUACUAUCAGAUGUGCCGAGAUGGGAUUAGCUAGUUGGUGGGGUAAAGGCUCACCAAGGCGACGAUCCCUAGCUGGUUUGAGAGGAUGACCAGCCACACUGGGACUGAGACACGGUCCAGACUCCUACGGGAGGCAGCAGUGGGGAAUAUUGCACAAUGGGCGAAAGCCUGAUGCAGCCAUGCCGCGUGUAUGAAGAAGGCCUUCGGGUUGUAAAGUACUUUCAGCGGGGAGGCGUUACCCGCAGAAGAAGCACCGGCUAACUCCGUGCCAGCAGCCGCGGUAAUAC
This 406-nucleotide ribosomal RNA is filed under the name uncultured bacterium. Its description in RNAcentral is "partial 16S ribosomal RNA". It matches the Rfam family "Bacterial small subunit ribosomal RNA", at positions 30 to 526 of the family's 1533-position model. The record is from RNAcentral.